This is a long non-coding RNA of Austrofundulus limnaeus, 274 nucleotides long. RefSeq lists it as uncharacterized. The record is from RefSeq and is a predicted model, not a curated record. NCBI's taxonomy places the organism in Eukaryota, Metazoa, Chordata, Actinopteri, Cyprinodontiformes, Rivulidae. The transcript has 2 exons.
GGAUUUGGUUGUUGCGAUACAAGAUGCUGAUUGGUGUUGUUGUUUUCUCUUUGUGCUUUCCAAUGGAAGCUGCUCUCUCAAUGAUUUCGAGGAUGAUUGGCUUGUAAUUUGCCCCAUUAGUGGAGUUACCGCUGAAAUGGCAGUGUCACAUCCCCAAAAAGCUUCCCUGUUCCUAGGUGCAGCUCCACACCAGGUGUGAUUGACAUUUCAUCCAGCGUAAGCACACACUCUCUUUCCAUCUCUUUUAGACUGCUAACCUUUAGUUUGAGCAUGU